GACACGUGGUAUCCUGUCUGAAUAUGGGGGGACCAUCCUCCAAGGCUAAAUACUCCUGACUGACCGAUAGUGAACCAGUACCGUGAGGGAAAGGCGAAAAGAACCCCGGCGAGGGGAGUGAAAAAGAACCUGAAACCGUGUACGUACAAGCAGUGGGAGCACGCUUAGGCGUGUGACUGCGUACCUUUUGUAUAAUGGGUCAGCGACUUAUAUUCUGUAGCAAGGUUAACCGAAUAGGGGAGCCGAAGGGAAACCGAGUCUUAACUGGGCGUUAAGUUGCAGGGUAUAGACCCGAAACCCGGUGAUCUAGCCAUGGGCAGGUUGAAGGUUGGGUAACACUAACUGGAGGACCGAACCGACUAAUGUUGAAAAAUUAGCGGAUGACUUGUGGCUGGGGGUGAAAGGCCAAUCAAACCGGGAGAUAGCUGGUUCUCCCCGAAAGCUAUUUAGGUAGCGCCUCGUGAAUUCAUCUCCGGGGGUAGAGCACUGUUUCGGCAAGGGGGUCAUCCCGACUUACCAACCCGAUGCAAACUGCGAAUACCGGAGAAUGUUAUCACGGGAGACACACGGCGGGUGCUAACGUCCGUCGUGAAGAGGGAAACAACCCAGACCGCCAGCUAAGGUCCCAAAGUCAUGGUUAAGUGGGAAACGAUGUGGGAAGGCCCAGACAGCCAGGAUGUUGGCUUAGAAGCAGCCAUCAUUUAAAGAAAGCGUAAUAGCUCACUGGUCGAGUCGGCCUGCGCGGAAGAUGUAACGGGGCUAAACCAUGCACCGAAGCUGCGGCAGCGACGCUUAUGCGUUGUUGGGUA
Molecule: ribosomal RNA, 809 nt
Filed under: Escherichia coli
Lineage: Bacteria; Pseudomonadati; Pseudomonadota; Gammaproteobacteria; Enterobacterales; Enterobacteriaceae
Description: partial 23S ribosomal RNA
Rfam family: Bacterial large subunit ribosomal RNA
Source: RNAcentral